UAACACGGGGGGAGCAAACGUUGUUCGGAAUUACUGGGCGUAAAGGGCGCGUAGGCGGCCACGCAAGUGGUGUGUGAAAUACCCUGGCUCAACCAGGGAACUGCGCACCAAACUGCGUGGCUUGAGGGCAGUAGAGGAAGCUGGAAUUCCUGGUGUAGCGGUGAAAUGCGUAGAUAUCAGGAGGAACACCGCUGGCGAAGGCGGGCUUCUGGGCUGACCCUGACGCUGAUGCGCGAAAGCUGGGGGAGCAAACAGGAUUAGAUACCCUGGUAGUCCCAGCCGUAAACGGUGAACACUAGGUGUGGGGGGUGUCGACCCUCUCUGUGCCGUAGCUAACGCAUUAAGUGUUCCGCCUGGGGAGUACGGUCGCAAGGCUG
Molecule: ribosomal RNA, 377 nt
Filed under: uncultured bacterium
Lineage: Bacteria
Description: bacterial SSU rRNA
Rfam family: Bacterial small subunit ribosomal RNA
Source: RNAcentral